AUUGAACGCUGGCGGUAUGCUUAAGACAUGCAGGUCGUGCGGUAGAAGGCUUCGGCCUUUGAGAGCGGCGGACGGGUGAGUAACACGUGGGAAUCUGCCUAUUAGUGGGGGACAGCCCAGCGAAAGCUGGAUUAAUACCGCAUACGCCCUACGGGGAAAGGACAGCAAUGCGCUAAUAGAUGAGCCCGCCGUAAGAUUAGCUAGUUGGUAAGGUAAAGGCUUACCAAGGCGACGAUCUUUAGCUGGUCUGAGAGGAUGGCCAGCCACAUCGGGACUGAGACACGGCCCGGACUCCUACGGGAGGCAGCAGUCGGGAAUAUUGGACAAUGGGCGCAAGCCUGAUCCAGCAAUACCGCGUGUGUGAAGAAGGCCUGCGGGUUGUAAAGCACUUUCAGUUGGGAAGAUAAUGACGUUACCAACAGAAGAAGCACCGGCUAACUCCGUGCCAGCAGCCGCGGUAAAGU
RNAcentral lists this ribosomal RNA (464 nucleotides) under uncultured bacterium. RNAcentral describes it as "bacterial SSU rRNA". It matches the Rfam family "Bacterial small subunit ribosomal RNA", at positions 30 to 526 of the family's 1533-position model. The record is from RNAcentral.